Long non-coding RNA from Ictalurus punctatus (channel catfish), 4239 nucleotides. The record is from Ensembl. Lineage: Eukaryota; Metazoa; Chordata; Actinopteri; Siluriformes; Ictaluridae.
AAACGGGGCGGGGCAACAAAAACAUAGUUGCUCUUUAAUAACGUUAAACGUAACACGAAUGCAAACUUUUUUAAAAACGCUUUAAUCGUGUUUUUGAUCCAUUGUUUGCUUAGUCUUCCAAGAUAGGAAGAAAAAUACGCUUCCUGAUGGAGCUCAACGACCUUUUCUGGGACAGAGCGAGAGUUUCACACGCCUGGGGUCACGACCUUGUCACCUUUGACCUUGAUUUCCAAGCAGAUGGAGCAGAACAGCCAGACGCAUCAAGUUCAUUUAUCCAGCUUAGCUACUCGGGAACAACCCACCAUUCAACUUCACGUCACGUACCACAUACUGUUUUUAUAACCACGACAAUCAUGUAAAGUUUUAUUAAGCUUUACGACAUACGAGAUAAGGGAUAUACGAGAAAUCUAGUUAGGUGAUAAGCAUUAUGGGAUGGAUUUCUCUUAGUUAGAAACAGCAUGCAUCUUGCUAUCUAAAAAUAAGAAGCUUUAACGGACAGAUUGUUAUUAAACCUGCUGGAUCGGUAUUUUAAAGCAUCUUAAUGAUACUUGACCAGUGAUAGCAAAAUAUUUUUGAUGAAACGGAAACAAACAAAAGUAAUGCAUGAUUAAAAAACUUCAUGUUCAAGUACGUAACAAAGAGUGGAAGAAAAAUUCGAAUAACUGGUAUAAAACCAGAUUUUACAAAACGUACAAUCACUGAGCAACAUCCUGACCACACCCUCAAUCCUCAUUAUAUUAAAACAUCACAAUAUCAGUGCAAUAUUAAUAUCAUAUCGUCAUAUCCGCCACACUGACUCGAUGAUAAUACUGAACAUUGUGAUAUAUUGGGUAAUCAACUAAUAUCAUUAAUUAUGCCAUAGUACUGGGCGACAUGAUGAGACAAUAUCCAUAUCGUGAAACAUUAUGAAACAGGACACUUUUCUGAGAUACAGCUGACAUGGUCCAUAUUUUUAUAAUGCUUAUUUAUACAGAAUGUUUAGUAAUGUGUUAAAUGAUUUCUUUUUAUAGAUGUUAAUAAAAGUAACAUUCAGUUUUGCAAGUACUUUGUUAGCAAAACAAAAUAUUGUGAUAAAUAUAUCGCUGAAAUGUCUUCGUACUGCGAUUGGAUAUUUGUUAUAUAUCUCUACUGUCUCCAAGUCUCUACUAUUCCACUACAGAAUAAAGUUAAUAAUGUUUAUUCAUGUUCAUUACAGAUUGUCUCAUCGUCAUACAUUAUAUCAAGCGAUACAUCGUCCUACCUCUAAACACAGACGACCUGCUGCUUAGUAAAUUUACAGAAUAAAUAACAAACUGCAACAUUUUCAAAAAGUCAGAUUUCUUUUUUUUUUUCUGUAUUAAACAUUGAAGAGCAGACAGCUGUGUGCGAGCGUUGUGUCUCUCUUUCAGAGAUUCACAAACAGCCACUUAACCUUUCAAUCUGAGGGCGUAAAUACUUCUAAAGCCACUCAGAAUCGACGCGCUGAAAGUCAACGACGGCUCGUGAUGAAUAACUGGAUCCUCUGUAAGGAACUCAGAGCUCAGCUCGGCUCACAUCAUUUCACAUCCAAAUCUGACAUGUUAUUAUUUUUAGUCUGUUUAGAAAAAAUGAAAACAUGGAAACAUAAGUGCAAACUCUGCAGGUGAGCUGUUUAAUCUGUAACACUGCAUUCAUUUAGAUAAUAAAACACUUAUGGAUGUGCUGGUAUAGAAAAAUCAACCCUUAUAUCACUGCAAUGUGUCAAACAACAUAUAAUGGGUUUUUUUUUUAAAAUCCACUUAUGGUUAUAUUUAAUGUUUGUGAAACAAGUUAGUCUCUGUUCUCACCUACAUUAUAGCAGCUAUAACCAGUUGCUCCUUUUACCAGCCUCUCUUUAUUCUCUCCCAAAUUCAAUGACACUAAAAUAUAUAAUUAAAAAAAUGCAAAGAAACCACAAACUCCUCUGUCCUGAAGAUGUCAGAAAACUGACUGUUGCAAAGCACUGACGACUCCUUCCAUAAAGGUUACUUUUUAUUUAUCUGUUACUAUAGAAACGAUAAUGUAUUAGAACGAGCGCAUCAACAUAAACCUGCGCUACUGUCAGAGCUGAUCUUAUAGAGAAUUAAAUCAACACCUGAUGACCAAGCAGAAUACAGACAUCAGCGAUCAACAAAAAUGAACAAAAAUAAAAGUGAAAUGUAGUGCACUAAGCAUUUAUUAUUAUGUCAAUAUCAAGUUUAUUAUAAGCCCAAAGGGCAAUUUUUGGUGCAGCAUAAAAUUUGCAACCCCAUCAUACAAAAAACACAAACAGCAAACAACAUUCCGACAUCUUACAAAUUUAAAAGCCUUACAGCAAUGGGAAUAAAAGAAUUGUCUAUACCGAUUGCUCUUAAGUUUAGGCAUCCUAUAACUAUAACAGAAGGAAGCAUUUCGUUGCAUAUUCAUGGAACACUGGAGGAGUAUAAUCUGCAAGAAGCACUAACUUUCUGUAAGACAAACUGUUCAAAGCGAUUUGGUCUGCUUAAUGCCAAUAAUCAUACUACCAUGGUUGACAAUGCCAUUCAACGAGCUUCUACGUUUAACGUUUACAUUACCAUAGCAACAGCAUAUAGAGAAACAAAGUACGGAUUCAAUAUAAGAUUUAUAUUUACAGUGCAUGGUCAUAAGAGUCCUACUGAUAUUAAAAGUAGAGCGCCUUUGAAUAUAGCAUUAAGUACAAUAACAAAAUAAUAAUAAUAAUAAUAAUAAUAAUAAUAAUAAGCAACCAUUCAAGACAAAUGCAAUAUACAUCUCAAUACCAGUGAUUAUAUUCUACAUACAUAUACGAAUAGGCUACAACAUGACCACGUGACUACAAUACACAGUGUUUAAAUUAACCGUAAUUAAAUAACAUGCACUAAUUUAGCACACAGAAUUAACCCAUUACACAAUAACACCUACACAACAAAGCAUGCAAACUCAUCGUGCAGCUCUGACAAUAAUACCCCAAGCUGUCUUGCAGUUUUUUUUAAGGGUAAAUCACUGCAGAAUUCGGAUUAAUAACCGAAUUAUCUCACCUUUUUUACAGCACGUGCGCAGCGGCGUCACGAGGAAACGGUGCAGGAAGGAAAGCGAUUUUUUUAUUUAUUUACUUAUUCGUUUGUCGUUUAAAAUUGCUUAACAUGAGAUUCCGAGCGGUUCAGAAAAGUAGGCGACUGAAUUGAAAAUUCAGAGAAUUCUGUUGUUUAAAAAAUGACAUUUAAAAAAAGCAGCUUCACUUUGUAAGAGGUCUUAAUGAGAAAUAACACUUAAUAACAGCAGCAAAAAUAAACAAGUGCAUCGAUUUCCUGAUGAAAUAUAUCCUCCAAGAAGGUCUUAAUGACGGAAAAUAAUGAAUGCAUGCGAAUUUACACUGAUAUGAAUGUAAAUAAGCAGGGAAAAAAUAUUCAAGUAGAGUUAGUUGGUCAUCAGCUAUUUAUAUAUUUAUGUCCUGUGCGAAAUAAUAAUAACAACAAUAAUAAUAAGGAGGAGAAAAGGAAAAACAAACAGCAGUAAGUUAAUGAGUAUUCUGAUAAUCACUGUUGUAUAAUAAUAAUAAUAAUAAUAAUAAUAAUAAUAAUAAUAAUAAUGGGUAAAAGCGAUAUUUAUUCAAUAUUUAAAAAGAAGAGAAAUAAACAGCGGGACGAAGCGCGUCUCUUGACAUUUAAACCUCCGACGAUGCUAACAAGCUAAGCCACGCCAAUAAAGUGCAAAAGGACAGAUUGCUAGGUUUAGCUUCGAGCCUCGUGCGGUUCACGAACACGAUCAAGUCGGAAACAUAUCGAGAUAUAAUCCAGAAAUAUCACAAAAACGUGGAAAUAUCCAGCUGUAAACAGGGAGUGUCCAAAACGGAAGCGUUCAGAGUAAACGUUAGAGAAUUCACUCUGCCUUUAAUUCUGUAUUCCAACAAAUAGCCCGCCUCCCUUGCGCCUCCAUUGGCUGAGAGGUUUCCGCCUCCUGAGAUCCGAUUGGAUGGUUAUACGCACUGUCCAAUCAGAGAGCUUCUCGCAGGCUCGGCUCGCAUACAGGCCGUGGUUUGUAUAGAACGAGUGAGGAAAAAGUGACGCCUUCUUCUAUUCUGUUCAGCCAUUUUGUUUAGUAAGGGCGUUAAAAAAAAAGGCUGGACCACGUGACAUCAUGUUGACCAAUUAGAAGGCACGGAUUUUGAUACGACACUAGGAUAGGUCAACGCGACGCUAUAUACGGUGCGUCGAUCGUGUGUGGAAAUUUUCACAGAAUUUCAAACAUCUAUUCGUACCGGAG